GCUGGUGAUUUUAGCACGGUUGAAACACGAGAUCCCAUCCCGAACUCUAGCGUGAAACGCCGUUGCGCCGAUGGUACUCCGUCUUAAGGCGCGGGAGAGUAGGUCGUUGCCAGCU
RNAcentral lists this ribosomal RNA (115 nucleotides) under Alphaproteobacteria bacterium. Lineage: Bacteria; Pseudomonadati; Pseudomonadota; Alphaproteobacteria. RNAcentral also lists the same sequence under 1 other name. The record is from RNAcentral.